Molecule: long non-coding RNA, 359 nt
Filed under: Mustela putorius furo (domestic ferret)
Lineage: Eukaryota; Metazoa; Chordata; Mammalia; Carnivora; Mustelidae
Description: lncRNA (ENSMPUG00000030030.1)
Source: RNAcentral
CUUGAUGGAGGGAAAGCAUAGCAUGUGCUCCUCUCUUGGAGCCAAUGAGCGCUAGAACUGGGAACCCUUUCUCUGCGUUCUGGUGGCACUUUGUUCUGUUUGUUCUUCACUGUCGGGAAACAAGAAGAGUGCCCCCUGGACCUAACACCCCCCACUCCGGAUCUUCCCACCCGGGUCUCAGGACAACAUUGAACACUGGUUAUUUUACCAAGGCUUUGACGGGAAUGUCAUAUUUGAAAAGACUCAGAUAUGACCAGACAGCUUAAAGGAACUAAGGUUGACUUUACAAAACCUGGAGCCGUAAAGCCCUUUGGAACUGUUGGCCUGAUACCUUGCUUACAGAGUUCCCAGCAGCCUCA